CUGAAGGAACGUUGAAGACGACGACGUUGAUAGGCCGGGUGUGUAAGCGCAGCGAUGCGUUGAGCUAACCGGUACUAAUGAACCGUGAGGCUUAACCUUACAACGCCGAAG
Molecule: ribosomal RNA, 111 nt
Filed under: Escherichia coli
Lineage: Bacteria; Pseudomonadati; Pseudomonadota; Gammaproteobacteria; Enterobacterales; Enterobacteriaceae
Also listed under: 15 other names
Description: partial 23S ribosomal RNA
Rfam family: Bacterial large subunit ribosomal RNA (bases 1-99)
Source: RNAcentral